Molecule: long non-coding RNA, 554 nt
Organism: Melanotaenia boesemani (Boeseman's rainbowfish)
Lineage: Eukaryota; Metazoa; Chordata; Actinopteri; Atheriniformes; Melanotaeniidae
Exons: 3
Source: RefSeq, a predicted model, not a curated record
CUGGUCGACAGGUCACCUGACUUCCUGCUGUCGCAGAGAUUAUCACUGCUGCGUGUGAAACUAGCUCUCACACCAAGGCUGCUGUGGGAAACUCCCGUGCUGUGCUGCCUCUCGCACCGAGCCGACGUCCGUGUGUGGCUUCCGUGUGUGGCAAACCCCCGUCAUCCGGUGGUCUGAGAGCGCGGAGUGGUGGUGCCUCUGCGGUGCGGGUCCCCGGUUUAGUCUAAUCCUCCCCUCAUCUUCAUGCUGAUCACGUUUGCCUGUGCUGUGGGACUGAAGUGCGGUGUGAAGUGUUUUUGUCUUGCACGUGUGCCUGGGGUGGCCUUUGUUUGGAUCCCCUCACCUCAUUUAGCCCACCUAUCUCCUGGUAAGCCUCAGCCAUCUUUUAUUUUUGAAUCGUGGGUUUUGUUUUGUUGAUUGUAAAUAAAGAUUGUUUAAUUGAUUGGACGCUUGUCUCCCGCCUCGUUAGUAUAACGGACCUGGUUGCCUUGUUGGAGUUCUGUUAUUAUUCCCCGGGUGAAAGUCCCAGGGUGGCGUUGUCGCAAUUUUAAAAA